GACGAACGCCGGCGGCGUGCUUAACACAUGCAAGUCGAGCGGUAAGGCCCUUUUGGGGGUACACGAGCGGCGAACGGGUGAGUAACACGUGGGUGACCUGCCCUCAGCUCUGGGAUAAGCCUGGGAAACUGGGUCUAAUACUGGAUAUGACCUUUCCUCGCAUGGGGUUGGGUGGAAAGUUUUUCGGCUGGGGAUGGGCCCGCGGCCUAUCAGCUUGUUGGUGGGGUGAUGGCCUACCAAGGCGACGACGGGUAGCCGGCCUGAGAGGGCGACCGGCCACACUGGGACUGAGACACGGCCCAGACUCCUACGGGAGGCAGCAGUGGGGAAUAUUGCGCAAUGGGCGGAAGCCUGACGCAGCGACGCCGCGUGGGGAUGAC
RNAcentral lists this ribosomal RNA (380 nucleotides) under uncultured bacterium. RNAcentral describes it as "bacterial SSU rRNA". It matches the Rfam family "Bacterial small subunit ribosomal RNA", at positions 28 to 412 of the family's 1533-position model. The record is from RNAcentral.